This 1420-nucleotide long non-coding RNA is filed under the name Homo sapiens (human). RNAcentral describes it as "long intergenic non-protein coding RNA 1102". The record is from RNAcentral. Lineage: Eukaryota; Metazoa; Chordata; Mammalia; Primates; Hominidae.
GGCAAAUUGUGCGCAGAGAUGUUAUUUAUUAAUGAGUUAACUUUCUGCAUUCUCAUCGUCUUUCCUUUCUAGAGGAUGCUGCAAGCCCAGGGAAUGAAGACAUUUGGAGAAGAAGCGUUUACUGAAAGGAGAUUCCUGGGCUGGAGGAAAACCAUGAUCUACAGUUCAUGUUGACAGAUAUUGUAUUUUUGGUCCUAGAUCUGACUUUUGAAAUGACUUAUCACAAAUUCAAAUUUAGCAAUCAUGAGUGAAGUACCCACGAUGUGCUAAGCAUCUACCUCUGCAGAUAGAAGAACACUUACUGUUCCUGAGCAUGGGAGGGAAUAGAAGUUCCUGGGUCCUGGCCUCACCUCAUCAGGCACUGCCAAAUUUGACACCUCCUUCCUGUUCACGGCAGUCCUUUGCGAUAGGGUAUUAGAUGCCACCAAGUAGCUGCAUAACUCACCCAUUUGGUCAGAGCCUGGGUCUAAGCCAGGUCUGACAGACUCCAAAGCAAGCCCUGUUUACAGCAUGACUGGGAUCCAGUGGACGAGGGAACUGAGCUGUCAAAACUAAGUGACUUGAUUGAGGCCAUGCAGCUGGCGAGGGGAGGACCAGGAUCUGAACCCAACUGGGUCUCCCAAGCCUGGGCCACUGAACCAUUUCACCUCUUGGAAAAACUUAAUGGUCAGAGUGGCCCACCCAGUCCAUGGACAGCAUGGAGGAUAAACUGCUUCCCUAGAAAUCCUCUCCAGCAUUCUUGCCACCACGACUUUGGGACACAUUGACCAUGAGGAGGAGCUGGUCAAUGAUGGACAGGAGUCCAGAUUAGCAGAGAUGUGGUAAUAAGGACACCGAUGCCUAAAUACUUGAAAUAUCCAAUAGGAAGCAUUCCACCUUUGUGCAAAUGCGAACCACAUCUCACCAAGUUCAGGCCAAGGCUGCCACCGGUGACGUUUUGGAAAAGAAAAAAAAAAGCGGGGGGAGAGGAGAGAAACAGAGAAGCAAGGAAUGCAGAAGAGAGCAGAGGCCACAAAAACAGCAGCAACGUGUCCUGUGUAUUCUGUUUCCUUGUAAAACUAUGAAGCAUGUUAAGGAGAUACUUCAUUUUUUGAGGAUUCAUACUCUUGUUUAUAUUAUAAUAAAAACAACCCAUGUUCUUUCUAAAAAUUUAGGCAAUGCCUUCGUGCACAUAAAAGUAAAACAAAAUCACCUGUAAUCCUACCACACGCAGAUCAGCACUUGCUAAUCUUUUCACAGGGAUCCUAAGAAUAUCCUAUUCUCUAUAGAAUAUAGUUGAUUUAUGUUACCUAAUAACUAACUGUUAACCAUUUUAAAAUUCUUCAGUUUUACAUUAUGCUAGAAAAAAGGAGCCGUCACUCUACGUGACAUUUCUGUAUAUUGGUUUAUUCAUUCAAUAAACAUUUUUUAAGUACCUACU